CCUACGGGUGGCAGCAGUGAGGAAUCUUGGACAAUGGGAGAGAUCCUGAACCAGCAAAGCCGCGUGAGGGAAGACGGCCCUAUGGGCUGUAAACCUCUUUUGUCGGAGAGCAAAACCCGGGACGUGACCCGGACCGCGUGUAUCCGAAGAAAACGCAUCGGCUAAGUCCGUUCCAGCACACGCGGUAAUGCGGAGGAUGCGAGCGUUAUCCGGGUUUAUUGGGUUAAAGGGGAGCGUAGGCGGUCCGUUAAGUCAGCGGUAAAAUUGCGGGGCUCAACCGCGUCGAGCCGUUGAAACUGGCAGACUUGAGUUGGCGAGAGGUACGCGGAAUGCGCGGUGUAGCGGUGAAAUGCAUAGAUAUCGCGCAGAACUCCGAUGGCGAAGGCAGCGUACCGGCGCCAGACUGACGCUGAGGCACGAAAGCGUGGGGAUCGAACAGGAUUAGAUACCCCAGUAGUC
RNAcentral lists this ribosomal RNA (459 nucleotides) under uncultured bacterium. RNAcentral's name for it is "partial 16S ribosomal RNA". It matches the Rfam family "Bacterial small subunit ribosomal RNA", at positions 338 to 795 of the family's 1533-position model. The record is from RNAcentral.